UUAAAAUUUUGUUUUUUAAUUCUGGUAUUCGCUAGUGCACGCAAAGGAACUUAGCGUGCAGCCAGAAAUUACAAUUAAUAUCAUAAAUAUAUGACUUUUAAUUUUCUUUUUAGUUAAAUUAGAUGUGGCUUUAACACCAAAGCUUAAAUUCAUGGUAUUUUCUUACAGAAUGCUUAUAAAUACAACGAAAAACUGAAACCGGUAAGCUUCGAUUUACAUUUGCGUGUUAACGGCUAUCCCUAGUAGUAGUAUAAACAAACUUCGUUGUCACUUCACUUCGCUCGAGGCAGGGUAAUUAAGAUUAGUGUUUACAGAAUGCCAAUUCAAGGUCAUUCUAUUGCGAAUGCGAAGUGAUGGAGAAUUUCGUAGUGAGAUGCGAGUUCUUGUUUGACUUUUAGAGAAUCGCAAGGCUGUAGUCGAAUUGAGAAUAGACCAUUAACGACACUAUAACGACACACUCUCGGAGUUCUAACCUAGGGGCGUUGCUAACACUAGCCCUAGCAAGAGCAGCGCUUCGCCGAAUCUACCACCGGAUCGGAAACGCGACCCACUGAGAAGAUCCGGCGAGACUCGGUGGGCUGCGUCUAUGGGUUACUUUACUCACCGAACCCUUCGUAGUAAGCGACGGGUUUGACGAGAAACAGUCCUGCAAUGUCAGUUUAAGACUAUUAAUAGUAAAGCUGUAUGUGGAAUGAAGACAAAAUUACAGUAUAGAUUUACUUUCGUCUAAGGUUAAGACCUUAUUUAUCUAUAAAUACGGUGACCAUUUGUACCGUUUAUGGCAUACAGUACGUAAACCAUAAAUGCCUUUUUUUUUUUUAUUGCUGUAUAUAGUUUGGUGGACGAGCUCACAGCCCACCUAGUGUUAAAUGGUUACUGGAGCCCAUAGACAUCCGCAACGUAAAUGCGCCACCCACCUUGAGAUAUAAGUUCUAAGGUCUCAAGUAUAGUUACAACGGCUGCCCCACCCUUCAAACCGAAACGCAUUACUGCUUCACGGCAGAAAUAGUACCGACCCGCGCGGACUCACAAGAGGUCCUACCACCAGUAAUUACGCAAAUUAUAAUUUUGCGGGUUUAAUUUUUAUUACACGAUGUUAUUCCUUCACCGUGGAAGUCAAUCGUGAACAUUUGUUUUUCAUUAGAAAAAUUGGUACCCGCCUGAGAUUCGAACACCGGUGCAUCGCUCAACACGAAUGCACCGGACGUCUUAUCCGUUAGGCCACGACGACUUCUAUUUGUACUGUUUUUCAUUGAAUUUUAAAUUAUACUAAAGUUUAAUAUUUGUAUGAAAAAAAAUUGUUUAAAUGUGUAAUAAUGGCACUCGCAAAUAAUCGUUUAGAAAAAAUAUUUUGUGUACAUUAACUUUGGACGAACCUUAAGCAUAAAACACAUAAAGUUUUACCGAUAAAGUAGACUAGUCAUCUUAGAAACAUCAUAGUGACAUCUAUCGCUAAACGUCAUAUAAAAAAGUAACCUAUACUAUAAUGCUCCUUCUCCUGUUUUUUCAUACAAAAAUAAUGGUCACUAUACCCAUAGAUUAUACACUUAAUAUAUGACUAUACCCAUCCAAGGGUAUUUCUUUCUUCGACCCCGUUUGAAGAAAAACAUGGAAUGCAUAUUCUAUUUCAGGUCAAGAAUCGUUUGAAAUGUAAAAAUAUAAUAUUAAAACUUUAUUACUAUUAUUCAACAAAUAAAAGUUUAUGGAUAUAAUUUCUAUAUUGUUUAUUAUUUUCUUUUAAAACAGCAUAAACAUGAAUGAUAUGUAGGUAAUGAUUUCAAAGCCUCUUUGAGUCUGUAAGUACUCGUUUGUAUGAAAAAUUAUCGUGUAAAAUUAAAUAAGAUGAAAUAGAUACAAAGAAAGAAAAAGAAAGAACAUAAAAAGAAAUUAACAAAUUAAUUAUUAACGAUUAAGUUUCAAAAAGAAAUUGACAAGAUUAUUCCUAUCUAAGAAAACUAGCUUGACUGAAAUAAUAAACAGCAUUAUCCAUUUAUAUACAUUUUUAAUUAAACUGUAAUUCUUAAUAUCGCAUAAGUUUCGGUACUCUUAAAAUAAAUACAUCAUAGAUUUAAUUUCAAUAUUUUACUAAAUUAAUAUUGGACUUAAUAAUGUCCAUCAAUGGAAUUGCUACGUUCUCUCGAUAUCAGAUUAUAGUUAAUUAUAUGAAAAUAUAAAUAAAUACUUCUAUAAUGUCCCUGUAAACUAAAUGUAACCAAAUAAUGUAAAUAAAUAACCUUAGUAUUGAAAUGAAUUUUGUUCCGUCUGUCGCGUCCCUCACAUUAUAGUCUUAUAAACUGAAAUGCAUAAUGGUAAUAUUUUUUAUAUGAAAACCAGUAGCGUAUUUUAACUUAAAUUUAAAAUAUUUGGUUCUACAUCGCGUUAAAUUUUGAGGAAACUAAUCACAUAUUCAGUAUAUAUCUAUCUGUAUGGAGGUGGUGGUUGGUUGAUGAUAACGGCUGGUUGAUUCGGUGAAGGGUGGUGAUGGUGUAUCACGGUGGUCCGCUGCGGAGGAUCACCGCAACAAUCGCAGCAAAGGCACGGAAUGCAGCAACAGCAACAGGGUCGACACGAGAUAUUGCAACCCAUUCU
This is a long non-coding RNA of Bombyx mori (domestic silkworm), 2589 nucleotides long. RefSeq lists it as uncharacterized. Lineage: Eukaryota; Metazoa; Arthropoda; Insecta; Lepidoptera; Bombycidae. The transcript is spliced from 2 exons. The record is from RefSeq and is a predicted model, not a curated record.